CCCUUAGAUGUUCUGGGCCGCACGCGUGUUACACUGAUGCGUUCAUCAAGCACCACACCUUGGCUCGAGAGGCCUGGGUAAUCUUGAAAUCGCAUCGUGCUGGGGAUAGAUUAUUGUAAUUUUUAAUCUUCAACGAGGAAUUUCUAGUAGGCGUUUGUCAUCAACAAGCACCGAUUACGUCCCUGUCCUUUGUACACACCGCCCGUCGCUACUACCGAUUGGAUCAUUUGGUGAGGCCCGCGGACUGUUGCGCUUUCUUCCUCGUGUUGAUUGCACUUCUUGGGAAGCGGUACGAACCUGAUGAUCUAGAGGAAGUAAAAGUCGUAACA
RNAcentral lists this ribosomal RNA (329 nucleotides) under uncultured eukaryote. RNAcentral's name for it is "partial 18S ribosomal RNA". It matches the Rfam family "Eukaryotic small subunit ribosomal RNA", at positions 1470 to 1796 of the family's 1831-position model. The record is from RNAcentral.